Molecule: non-coding RNA, 794 nt
Organism: Pelobates cultripes (western spadefoot toad)
Lineage: Eukaryota; Metazoa; Chordata; Amphibia; Anura; Pelobatidae
Source: the annotation of a GenBank genome assembly
AACUAGUACGGAAGAUACUGCAAUAAAUCCUCUGACAGAUCACUCCUUACCCACAUCCUGUGUAAGUUAAUGAAUAUCUGCCAUCUACACCUUCUCAUCACCCACCAACAAAUUGAUCAGAUUGUUGUUGGUACCAUUUUACCGGGCAUCGCAUAGGUGGUUAGUUCUAUCGGCUGACUGAUCUCCAGAGAAACAAAAUCAACGUGUGAUCCGAUAGCUUGUUUGCAAUGUGGAAAAAGUCAAUUUAUUCCUUUGAUUUUGGAGCAGAUUAAUAAACAACUCUGCGAAACAGCCUCUAUCUUCAUUUAUAAGAAUAUUUAUGGUUUGUAAAUCACUUAUAUGCAGUUAUUGGACCAUUAAAUCAGUAUGUACCAAACAAGAUUUCCCACAGGUGCCAUUUUGGUGAUAAAUGACUAAUACGUAUGAAUAUCAAAAUAUACUAAAGUAGUUCAAUUUGCUAUUUGAACAUAAGCUUGACAAUCAAAAUGUUGAGAAGAUAUGUUUGUAACAUGUUCGGCUUUUAUAUCUUUCAGACGGUUAUCUAGCACUGCACAGAGUCCAUCUUGUCCCAUCAAGCUUUCUGGUUCUCCAGUCCCCGGAAUAAACUACAGUCUGAAGACAGUUCGCGAUGAGAUGUGUUGUACAAUUGUUUGAUUGUAAGUACAAAAAAAUAAAAACUGUUAGCUCAUUUAAGGAAUGAUUGCGUAUGUUCAUAUAGCUUUUAUUGAGAAAAACAAAUCAAAAUACAGUGGAUAAAACAACAGAGAAGGAUAUACGUGACCCACAGUUGUGUC